UCUUAAAAUGGAGAGAGAGAGAGAGGACGGCACGGUGACUUUUGUGAAACUCCACUUCAUCGCCCCCAUCUCGCCUCAUCACCCUGGAAAAAAAGAGACUCCAUCAGCAGCUAAAAGGCCUGACCGAGGGAUGAUGUAGGACCGCGGUGAGCAAAUCCGACAGGACUCCACCAAACGUCUCCCUGCUGACUUAUUAGCAUCCUGAAAAGUGGGUCAAUCAAAGGAGAAGGGGAGAAGCGUGUUUUAAAAAACAGAAAACCCCAAGUAUCACAGAACUAAAGAAAAGCAUAUGCUUGAUAAAACCGUAUUAAAAAAAUAUUUACUAAUGAUACUUCCAGAAGCCUGUUGGGCAGAAAGUGGAAAGAUUUGGCAAAGAAAACAAGUUGUAAGAGAAUUUCAGAGCCAUUUUCAAAUAAGUGAUCUGUGCUCGUUAGAACCAUUUCUUCUCUGCUUUGCCCCGAUAACAGUUCCUUACCUGCUUAUUGAAAACGGAUUUAUUAAAGGGCAAAGAGAAGAUUUAUUCCCUACAAUGCCUAAAAUAUUUUGCUUUGUGUUCCACAUUGUUGUUGUUGUUAAGCAGUCAGUAGAUCAGGAUACACAAGGCCUUCAUGCUUAAAUCUGUUUCAUCACAUGACUGCAUUAAAAUGGAUAUCGCUGCAAUCGGGCAAACAAAGUUAAAUUACAAAUAAGACUGUAACACAAGCCAAUUAAGAAGGAACGAGUCCAUUCUGAAAUAUGUGAUAUGUUUGCAGUGUAAGACAAGUAUCGUAUCAGAUAUGUUUUUUUCUACAUAGCAAGCAGGUUGGAAGUUUGAGUCGUUCAGAUGCUCAUGUGACCUCUACGCUUCUAAUGGUGACAAUGAUCUCUGUUCCUGCAGAUUAGAAAUGUCACAAAUGUCAGGAAAAACAUCUAUUUUCUUUUGCUUAUGCAUGGAAUGGGAAUCAAAAUGACAUCGGUCUAACAAAUAUUUAUAGCAUGAUGUUAAAGUAUAUGUGUGUUUUUCCAUCGUUUUACACAGCCCGUAAAAACUUUAUGUAGAGUGUCUAAAUAUUUAAUGGCAUGUAGAGGCUUUUUUUCUGGAUUUGCUGUGUUUGCAUAUUUAAAUGCAGUGAGGCUCUGCAAGGAACUGAAAUUGUGAUAAUUGGAAAGUACGGGCUUCCAGCAAAUGGACUUCUUGUACAUUUAUCACUCAUUUCAUUGGGAUUAUAAUUCACUCCGGUCCAUCAUUUAAAAAACACAACGCAAAGACGCGUGUGCAAAUGCACGCGUGUAAUAAUGUGUAAUAUUGUGCAUUCAGCAUCCUAAUGAUUCUGGCUUCUGGAUAGUGAGGGAAAUGUCGUCGUGUUAAUAGUAAAAAUGCAGAUUUUGGCAGGUCAACUGUUUGUUUUUCUUGUUGUUUAAACCUAAUAUUGGUUAUCCUGGCGGAUUCCUUCUUUGGACCUGGUGGCUUUGUCCUGUGUUGAGCUUUGCCUUCAUCCUUGGAAAUAAAAGCAGCAGAAAAGAAGAACAUGGCACCACGCAGCUUUCUUGAAAGAGCAUCGAUAUUUUCUGCAUGAAAGAGCCUUCACACUAAAUUCUAAAGCUACUUGGUGGGACUGCUCUCUUGAUCUAGGUGUUUCUAGAAAAGAGCACCCUUGGCAAACCCACUCUGGUUACAACGUAUUGAAAAUAAAUGCAAUCCAGCAAUGAAGGCAACGAUUGACAACGGCUCAAAUAACACGGCCGCAACCCAGGAAGUGACAGGUCAGUGGGAGCCGACCCCCAACCGGCGAAGAACCCAUAAAAUAAAGAUCACCAGGGCGACGGUGAUCCAAAGCACUACCAUAUUCACAUGGUUAAUGUUCCUGCUUCUCUUCUUUGCUGGAUAUUCCCGGUGCAGCUGAUUGCCUAUAAUUUCACCCGAGCAUCAGAGGACGGGGGGAUCCAUUGUGGAGCGUGAGUUGUAUUGCCGCUCUGCCAGCUAAAUGAUCUCCAGUGGACGCCGGCUUAAAUGGGAGCUAAACGGCGACGCCGAGCGCUCCUCUAUCUGAAGCUCAUUACCCGCCUCUCGAUUCCCCAGAGACCUGGCUCAGCUUCGCAUCGAGCACUCUCCCGCCAGGAGGAGGGUGAUUACAACAUUUUGCUCGACAAAAGGCCCACCCCCCCCAGCCCUCGCCAUUUCCUGUCUCCCCCCCCCCUCUCCCCUCUCUGCGUUUCUUUCAGGCUCUCUCUCUCUCUCUUCUGCACCUCUGGCGAAUCGCACGCCGCCUGAUUUGUCUUUGUUUCCUUCCAAUGAUUGCGACGCUUAAGAGACAAGCAGUCCGUGAAUGGCACGGCGGAGCGCGCGCUCGCUAACAGACGACGGCGGGAACAAGCGGAAUUAUGAAUCAUCGCGCAGUCCAGACGACAACAAGCGCGAUAGCAGUGACAACAACACCGAAUCAAGAGGCUUUUUCUAAGAGCGGAUCACGGGACAGCCGCAGAAUGGCGAGCAGAUGGGAUAAACACUGAUGCAUGGCCGCCCGGGAGGAGCGGAGGCCUACGCGUUCCUCUGCCAGGGCUCGAUGUACUCCAGACCCAGAUGCGCAAAGAUGUCCUUUUCAGUCGAGGCUGCCAGGAACUCGUUCUAGAGUGAGAGAGAGAGAGAGAGAGAGAGAGAGAGAGAAAGAGAGUAAAAACAAAGAGAAAGAAGGUGAAUUCUCAAAAUUUGACCUUCACUGUUCCUAAAGGUGUUCAAGCUCUGCAAUCCGUAGCGGCGCGUUUACCGCCACCUCCGCCGCCAGCUGUCAAUGAAGCGGCGACUGUGGCGGUUUACAUUUGAACGCCCACCUCCCUUCCAACUCAUAAACACUCUCACCCCGCUCUGUGUGAUUGCGCCCAAAGAAUUUUCUUUGACGAAUCACGACGGGGGACAUUAGCGGCUGGCCGUCCACCAGCAGGCCAUGUGAUGGGUUGUGUCUGUACAGGAGGGGAGACGAGGCCGGACUCACCUUGAGAGUGAGACAGCCGAAAGAGAGAGAGAGAGAGAGUGUUGUGAUUCUGACACGUCCUGCCUCCACGUGUUAAACCGGACCGGAAGAGAUUUUGCAGAAGAAACGAGCGUCCCCCGCUGCGAGCCAAGCGGCAGACAUAACCGAGUGCAACCAGUCGACAGGCAGGAGAAGGGAAAAGCGCCACCAGGCUCGCCUCCCAACAUGCGCCUAGUUUAUUUAUAAUGCAAACGACAGGUUAGCCGUGCGGCGGGGGAGGUUUGGCUGCACGCUGCAUGAGGCUCCGUUCAUACCAUAGAUCUUCCUGACCACUGCAUUUGGAAGUAAAAGUAAAAGGGAGCGCCUCAAAAGGUCAAUAAACACAAAAAAUCACUUUGUUUUUAGCUUCCGAAUAAGUGAGUGAGUUAACAUAAAUACUUGUUACUGCUGUUGGCAAUCAUGCCUGACAAAAAUUCUUUAAACUGAGAAUCUCCGUAUUCUUAAAUAUGUUGGUCAUAUAGUGCUUUGUUCUGGGAGACGAAUGAACGAACCAACGCAGCUCAUCGUACGCUCUUCUGAGCGAUCGAGUGGUCAAAUAACUGAAGGACGAAAAAGAAAACACAGAAAAUCAAACAGAAGUUAUUAGGUUGAUUUUCAUUUGGGUGGAAAAGGACGUUUUCCCCUGUUUUUACACUUUAUUGUGAUGGACACCCAGAGAGACUGUGCGUGGUGUCCGUUAGUUUCUCAUUUUUCUCCCGUAGACAAAUCCUCUAACCUCCGUAGCCCCUUGAAAUAUUAUUGCUCUUUAAUAAAGAAUGAGAAAAAAUA
Molecule: non-coding RNA, 3776 nt
Organism: Gasterosteus aculeatus aculeatus (three-spined stickleback)
Lineage: Eukaryota; Metazoa; Chordata; Actinopteri; Perciformes; Gasterosteidae
Source: RefSeq, a predicted model, not a curated record